CAAAGACAUUCUCAAGGAGUCAUUCUGGUCGGAAGCAGCACCGGUAAUCGUAGAGGCUGACGCUUUUAAGGAAUCGGAUGUUAUUUACAGAGCCAUAAGCGCUAUGGGUCAUCACGAUGACAUGCUUCAAACAGCUGAAUUGGUGCACCAAUCAUCAACUGAUGCUGCAUCAUCUCUCCUAGUAACUGCAUUGAACGAGGC
This 201-nucleotide unclassified non-coding RNA is filed under the name Hevea brasiliensis (rubber tree). Lineage: Eukaryota; Viridiplantae; Streptophyta; Magnoliopsida; Malpighiales; Euphorbiaceae. The record is from RNAcentral.